This 392-nucleotide ribosomal RNA is filed under the name uncultured bacterium. RNAcentral's name for it is "partial 16S ribosomal RNA". It matches the Rfam family "Bacterial small subunit ribosomal RNA", at positions 523 to 918 of the family's 1533-position model. The record is from RNAcentral.
AUACGGAGGAUCCGAGCGUUAUCCGGAUUUAUUGGGUUUAAAGGGUGCGCAGGCGGCCAUUUAAGUCAGCGGUUAAAUCGUGGGGCUCAACCCCAUUCUGCCGUUGAUACUGGGUGGCUUGAUUGCGGUCGAGGUUGGCGGAAUUCGUUGUGUAGCGGGGAGCUGCAUAGAUAUGACGAAGAACACCGAUUGCGUAGGCAGCUGACCAGACCGCAAAUGACGCUCAUGCACGAAAGUGCGGGGAUCGAACAGGAUUAGAUACCCUGGUAGUCCGCACAGUAAACGAUGAAUACUUGUUUUCGGCGAUAUAAUGUCGGAGGCAAAGCGAAAGCGAUAAGUAUUCCACCUGGGGAGUACGCCGGCAACGGUGAAACUCAAAUGAAUUGACGGGG